Mastomys coucha (southern multimammate mouse) is the source of this 529-nucleotide long non-coding RNA. RefSeq lists it as uncharacterized. The transcript is spliced from 2 exons. The record is from RefSeq and is a predicted model, not a curated record. Lineage: Eukaryota; Metazoa; Chordata; Mammalia; Rodentia; Muridae.
CUUUGAGAUCCAACUGCCUCCCAGAGGCACUAUCAACCAGAGCUGUGGGUACAUUGGGUUGAAAUCAAAGAUUCACAUCAAGUCUCCAUUAAAUAUUUCUGUACCCAGAGGUUAUAUCUGUACAACAUACAAGACUGGUACCCAUGGAGCUCAGAAUAGGGCAUUGGAUCGCCCAGAACUGAAAUUACAGAAGGUUAUGAGCCAUCAUGUGGAUGCUGAGAACUGAACCCAGAUCCACCUCAAGAGCAGCCAGUGCUCUUAACAUUCAAGCCAUCUCUCCAGCACUGGGAUAAUUUGUUAAUUCAUGAUCAUGUUGGAAUGCCUAGCCCACUAUGGGCAGUGCCACUCCUGGAAAAGUGGUCCUGGGUUAUAUGAAAAAGCAGACUGAGAAGCCAUGAGAGCAAGCCAGUGAGCAGCAUUCCUCUGUGACCUCUGCAACAUCUGCUUCAGUUCUUGCUUCUGGGUUCCUACCUUGGCUUCCCUUAACUGACUGAUUGGAAUGUAUAAGCCAAAUAAACUUUUUUCUUCC